UGGACUGGGAUUUAGACCAGAGAGUAAAGCCACAGGUCCUGAUGAAAAUACACCACCAAGGCUUAAAUAAUCAAAGCAUGCCUCUCGCAUUUCCUUCCUUGCCUCAUCAGGGGACGCACAGAAUACUUUGUACAAUGCUCCUGCUAGAGUAUUUAUCGUAGACGCCACAGGCUUCCAGAAAAAAAGUGCCAUUGAAUAUGAUUAGUUUUGAAUAUAACAUUCAGACAUGCAUGCAUGCAAAAUAUCAACUUACCUUGCGCAGUGUAUAGAAGGAUUCCAGGUAUUUGGUUAGAGAAGCUGCAUCGUUAAGAUCACGAAGUGGGUUAAGAAGAUCUCGAAGCACAACAAUAUCAGACAGUGCUACAGUCAUCCCUCCGCCAGUUAAUGGGUGGCGCAUAUUGAAGGCGUC
RNAcentral lists this long non-coding RNA (409 nucleotides) under Manihot esculenta (cassava). RNAcentral describes it as "long non-coding RNA (MESC_LNC008105)". Lineage: Eukaryota; Viridiplantae; Streptophyta; Magnoliopsida; Malpighiales; Euphorbiaceae. The record is from RNAcentral.